RNAcentral lists this ribosomal RNA (378 nucleotides) under uncultured eukaryote. RNAcentral's name for it is "partial 18S ribosomal RNA". It matches the Rfam family "Eukaryotic small subunit ribosomal RNA", at positions 592 to 976 of the family's 1831-position model. The record is from RNAcentral.
CAAUAGCGUAUAUUAAAGUUGUUGCGGUAAAAAAGCUCGUAGUUGGACUUCUGUUGAGAGAUACCGGUCCAUGCAACGCAUGCGUAUUUGGUAAGUCUCGGCAUCCUCUCGAAAAACUUCUUUGCGCUUGAUUGCGUGAAAAGAGUUUCGGGACUUUUACUUUGAGGAAAUUAGAGUGUUCACGGCAGGCCAUCGCCAGGAUACAUUAGCAUGGAAUAAUACUAUAGGAUCUUGAUCCUAUUUUGUUGGUUUCUAGGAUUAAGAUAAUGAUUAAUAGGGACAAUUGGGGGCAUUCGUAUCAACACGUCAGAGGUGGAAUUCUUGGAUUGCGUUGCGACAAACUACUGCGAAAGCAUUUGCCAAGGAUGUUUUCAUUGA